RNAcentral lists this ribosomal RNA (460 nucleotides) under uncultured bacterium. RNAcentral describes it as "partial 16S ribosomal RNA". It matches the Rfam family "Bacterial small subunit ribosomal RNA", at positions 338 to 795 of the family's 1533-position model. The record is from RNAcentral.
CCUACGGGAGGCAGCAGUGAGGAAUAUUGGUCAAUGGACGAGAGUCUGAACCAGCCAAGUAGCGUGAAGGAUGACUGCCCUAUGGGUUGUAAACUUCUUUUAUAUGGGAAUAAAACGUUCCACGUGUGGGAUUUUGUAUGUACCAUAUGAAUAAGGAUCGGCUAACUCCGUGCCAGCAGCCGCGGUAAUACGGAGGAUCCGCGCGUUAUCCGGAUUUAUUGGGUUUAAAGGGAGCGUAGGUGGAUUGUUAAGUCAGUUGUGAAAGUUUGCGGCUCAACCGUAAAAUUGCAGUUGAAACUGGCAGUCUUGAGUACAGUAGAGGUGGGCGGAAUUCGUGGUGUAGCGGUGAAAUGCUUAGAUAUCACGAAGAACUCCGAUUGCGAAGGCAGUUCACUGGACUGCAACUGACACUGAGGCUCGAAAGUGUGGGUAUCAAACAGGAUUAGAUACCCUUGUAGUC